This 492-nucleotide ribosomal RNA is filed under the name uncultured bacterium. RNAcentral's name for it is "partial 16S ribosomal RNA". It matches the Rfam family "Bacterial small subunit ribosomal RNA", at positions 29 to 507 of the family's 1533-position model. The record is from RNAcentral.
AGUGAACGCUGGCGGUAGGCCUAACACAUGCAAGUCGAACGGCAGCACAGUAAGAGCUUGCUCUUACGGGUGGCGAGUGGCGGACGAGUGAGGAAUACAUCGGAAUCUACUUUUUCGUGGGGGAUAACGUAGGGAAACUUACGCUAAUACCGCAUACGACCUACGGGUGAAAGCAGGGGAUCUUCGGACCUUGCGCGAUUGAAUGAGCCGAUGUCGGAUUAGCUAGUUGGCGGGGUAAAGGCCCACCAAGGCGACGAUCCGUAGCUGGUCUGAGAGGAUGAUCAGCCACACUGGAACUGAGACACAGUCCAGACUCCUACGGGAGGCAGCAGUGGGGAAUAUUGGACAAUGGGCGCAAGCCUGAUCCAGCCAUACCGCGUGGGUGAAGAAGGCCUUCGGGUUGUAAAGCCCUUUUGUUGGGAAAGAAAAGCAGCAGGUUAAUACCCCGCUGUUCUGACGGUACCCAAAGAAUAAGCACCGGCUAACUUCGUG